Molecule: long non-coding RNA, 165 nt
Organism: Sinocyclocheilus rhinocerous
Lineage: Eukaryota; Metazoa; Chordata; Actinopteri; Cypriniformes; Cyprinidae
Exons: 3
Source: RefSeq, a predicted model, not a curated record
ACUGUUGCAUUGUUCCCUGGUGUAGUAAGGGGUGGUGUAGUAGCAUUUACUGGAGUAGUGAUGGGUGGUGUGGUAGCGUUUACUGUUGCAUUGUUUCCUGGUGUAGUUAAAGGUGGUGUAGUAACAUUUACUGUUGUAGUAAUGGGUGGUGUGGUACCAUUUACU